CAUGCAAGUCGAGCGAACAGAUAAGGAGCUUGCUCCUUUGACGUUAGCGGCGGACGGGUGAGUAACACGUGGGUAACCUACCUAUAAGACUGGGAUAACUUCGGGAAACCGGAGCUAAUACCGGAUAACAUUUGGAACCGCAUGGUUCUAAAGUGAAAGAUGGUUUUGCUAUCACUUAUAGAUGGACCCGCGCCGUAUUAGCUAGUUGGUAAGGUAACGGCUUACCAAGGCGACGAUACGUAGCCGACCUGAGAGGGUGAUCGGCCACACUGGAACUGAGACACGGUCCAGACUCCUACGGGAGGCAGCAGUAGGGAAUCUUCCGCAAUGGGCGAAAGCCUGACGGAGCAACGCCGCGUGAGUGAUGAAGGGUUUCGGCUCGUAAAACUCUGUUAUUAGGGAAGAACAAAUGUGUAAGUAACUGUGCACGUCUUGACGGUACCUAAUCAGAAAGCCACGGCUAACUACGUGCCAGCAGCCGCGGUAAUACGUAGGUGGCAAGCGUUAUCCGGAAUUAUUGGGCGUAAAGCGCGCGUAGGCGGUUUCUUAAGUCUGAUGUGAAAGCCCACGGCUCAACCGUGGAGGGUCAUUGGAAACUGGGAAACUUGAGUGCAGAAGAGGAAAGUGGAAUUCCAUGUGUAGCGGUGAAAUGCGCAGAGAUAUGGAGGAACACCAGUGGCGAAGGCGACUUUCUGGUCUGUAACUGACGCUGAUGUGCGAAAGCGUGGGGAUCAAACAGGAUUAGAUACCCUGGUAGUCCACGCCGUAAACGAUGAGUGCUAAGUGUUAGGGGGUUUCCGCCCCUUAGUGCUGCAGCUAACGCAUUAAGCACUCCGCCUGGGGAGUACGACCGCAAGGUUGAAACUCAAAGGAAUUGACGGGGACCCGCACAAGCGGUGGAGCAUGUGGUUUAAUUCGAAGCAACGCGAAGAACCUUACCAAAUCUUGACAUCCUUUGAAAACUCUAGAGAUAGAGCUUUCCCCUUCGGGGGACAAAGUGACAGGUGGUGCAUGGUUGUCGUCAGCUCGUGUCGUGAGAUGUUGGGUUAAGUCCCGCAACGAGCGCAACCCUUAAGCUUAGUUGCCAUCAUUAAGUUGGGCACUCUAGGUUGACUGCCGGUGACAAACCGGAGGAAGGUGGGGAUGACGUCAAAUCAUCAUGCCCCUUAUGAUUUGGGCUACACACGUGCUACAAUGGACAAUACAAAGGGCAGCUAAACCGCGAGGUCAUGCAAAUCCCAUAAAGUUGUUCUCAGUUCGGAUUGUAGUCUGCAACUCGACUACAUGAAGCUGGAAUCGCUAGUAAUCGUAGAUCAGCAUGCUACGGUGAAUACGUUCCCGGGUCUUGUACACACCGCCCGUCACACCACGAGAGUUUGUAACACCCGAAGCCGGUGGAGUAACCAUUUAUGGAGCU
This 1417-nucleotide ribosomal RNA is filed under the name Staphylococcus pseudoxylosus. Its description in RNAcentral is "bacterial SSU rRNA". It matches the Rfam family "Bacterial small subunit ribosomal RNA". Lineage: Bacteria; Bacillati; Bacillota; Bacilli; Caryophanales; Staphylococcaceae. The record is from RNAcentral.